GCCCCCCCCCCCCCCCAGCCCCGCAGCGUAGUUUUCCUCUCCUUUCCUUUGUAAUCUCCCGUCACUGGACGUCCUUGGGACCUUCAGACGGGGUGUGGACCUGCUGUGCCUGGGCACCUUGGAGGCAAAACAGGCUGUUUGUGGGCAAACCUAACUCAUUUUUCAUUUACUCUGGAUUCCCCUCUUGGUAUGGGUCCCUUUUGACACAGACCUAGGUUUCUAGCAUUCAUCCCCCCACCCUUCCUUCACAGGUUCUCUCUCUCUCUCUCUCUCUCUCUCUCUCUCUCUCUCUCUCUCUCUCUCUCUCUCUCUUUUUCCCUUACACAUUCUCUGUUUUUUCCAUAUUGUACUUCAAUCACUAUUUUUUCCUUUUUCUUUUUUUUUGUGAUAUAGCUGCUCUUUUUUCCAUGACUUUUUUUUUAAUAUUGGGGUUCAUUUUGACGUAUUCAUACAAGCAUAGAAUAUAAUUUACUCCAAUUCAGUCCCUAGUACUUACCCCUUUUAUCCCUCCUCCCUCUCCAGUUCCCUUUUCUCUACUGGGUUUUCCUUCUAUUUAUUUGUAGUUUUUUUUAAAAAUUAGUAUUUAUAGAUAAACAAAGGUUAAAUUUACUUUGAUAUAUUCAUAUAUGUACAUAGGAUAGUUUGGUCAGUUUUUAUCCCACCAUUUUUCUCUUUUCCUAUCCCUCCUCUCUCCUGCAGUCUUUCCACUUCCUGUACUCCUCUGAUUCAUUACCUUUUUUAGGGGAGGGGGUACUGGGAAUUUAACGCAGGGGCAUUCCAAGAUUGAGCCACAUCCCCAGCCCUACUUUGUAUUUUACUUAGAGACAGGGUCUCACUGAGUUGCUUAGUGCCUCACUUUUGCUGAGGCUGGCUUUGAACUCAGGAUCCUCUUGCCUCAGCCUCCCUAGCCAGUAGGAUUAUAGGCAUAUACCUGGCCUGAUCCAUUACCUUUUUAAAAAUUUUUAAUUUAUUUUUUAGUUGUUGAUAGACCUUUUUUUUAAAAAAAAUUUAUUUAUAUGUGGUGCUGAGAAUCAAAUCCAGUGCCUCACACAUGCUAGGCAAGUGAGCUAUCACUGAUCCACAGCCCCUGCCCCUGAUCCAUUAACUUUUAAGAAGCAAAUUCCUUGGAGCUGAAAGUGAGGGAAGAAGUGUUUUAGUUAACUUUUUCACUGCUAUGACUAAAAGACCCGAUGAGAACAAUUUUAAGGAGGAAAACUUUAUUUUGAGGCUCAUGGUUUCAGAUGUCUCAGUCCAUAGACAGCUAGCUCCAUUCCUCUGGGUUCCAGAUGAGGCUCAACAUCAUGGUGGAAGAGUGUGGUCAGAGAGACAGAGAGACAGACAGACACAAACUGACUAAAAUCGCCAGAUACAAAAUAUAUAUACUCAAAAGGCACAGCCCCAAUGAACCACCUCCUCCAGCCACACUCUACCUGACUUCAGAUAUCAUUCAAUCCCUAUCAGAGGAUGAAUUCACUGACUGGGUUAAGGCUCUUGUAACCUAAUAAUUUCAUCUCUAAACCUUCUUCCACUGUCUCACACAUGAGAUUUUCGGGAGCACCUCACAUGCAAACCAUGAAAAGAGUCCAGCCAAAGGCUUCUCGUAUAGUACAGAACAGUGGAGCACAGGUGGGGAGAGUUUGUACCAAGAGGAGAAAGGGGUCUCAUUCUGUGAGCUCAGAGACAGUGUAAGAUACUUAUACAAAGUGAAUAAAAAGUACAGCCAGCAUGAAAGCUGAAUAUCAAGGUAAAUAAUUGCAUAAGUUUUUAAAAUCUAAACAACAGCCUUGAAUAAUAAGAGGUUUGGGAAGAUCCUGUGGCUAGGAAUAGUUUGCUGUGACCACGAGGAACCAUGAACCUCAUGGUAUGAAUAAAAAGUAAGAACAUCUAAGUAUCAUUGAACACAUAAAAUAUGCUAAGCAUUUUAUUUUAUUUUUUAUUUGUGCAGGUUUUUCUUUUUAUUUGUUCUUUUUACUUAUAUAAAUUAGAAUUAAUUUUGACAUUAUGAUAUUUCUGUUCUUUGUCCCAUUUCCCUCAAACACAGUGUAGCACAACUUACAUUUUUUAUUAUAUCCUGCACUUUAUUUCGGGAAGAUAGUUAAUCUUUUUACUGUGUUGAGAAUUAUUUUACUUGGCUGAUUUAUCAAUAUUUACUGUAUGUCUUUGCCUUCUUAUGAUAGAAAUGAGUGUUUUACCAAUAAAUUGAAACAUAUUUCUUUUUCUCAUAGACUGUUGUUUUUUUCUUUUUAGUUAUUGUUUUUUUGUGGUGUGUCUUUGGGGAUUAUUGGUUUAUACCUAUAUAGGCUUUUUGGAAGACUGAAUAAACUC
Molecule: long non-coding RNA, 2325 nt
Filed under: Marmota monax (woodchuck)
Lineage: Eukaryota; Metazoa; Chordata; Mammalia; Rodentia; Sciuridae
Source: RNAcentral